GAUGAACGCUGGCGGCGUGCCUAAUACAUGCAAGUCGAGCGAACGGACGAGAAGCUUGCUUCUCUGAUGUUAGCGGCGGACGGGUGAGUAACACGUGGAUAACCUACCUAUAAGACUGGGAUAACUUCGGGAAACGGGAGCUAAUCCCGGAUAAUAUUUUGAACCGCAUGGUUCAAAAGUGAAAGACGGUCUUGCUGUAACUUAUAGAUGGAUCCGCGCUGCAUUAGCUAGUUGGGAAGGUAACGGCUUAUCAAGGCAACGAUGCAUAGCCGACCUGAGUGGGUGAUCGGCCACCCUGGAGCUGAGCCGCGGACCAGGCGACUGCGGGAGGGAGCAGUAGGGAAUCUUCCGCAAUGGGCGAAAGCCUGACGGAGCGACGCCGCGUGAGUGAUAGAGGUGUUCGGAUCGGAAAGCUCUGUUAUGAGGGAAGAACAUAUGUGGAAGUAACUGUGCACAGCUUGACGGUACCUAAUCAGAAAGCCACGGCUAACUACGUG
This 497-nucleotide ribosomal RNA is filed under the name uncultured bacterium. Its description in RNAcentral is "partial 16S ribosomal RNA". It matches the Rfam family "Bacterial small subunit ribosomal RNA", at positions 28 to 507 of the family's 1533-position model. The record is from RNAcentral.